GGCGGCGUAGCUCAGUUGGUUAGAGCACAGGACUCAUAAGCCUGGGGUCACUGGUUCAAGUCCAGUCGUCGCUACCA
This 77-nucleotide transfer RNA is filed under the name Candidatus Saccharimonadota bacterium. Its description in RNAcentral is "tRNA-Met". It matches the Rfam family "tRNA". Rfam says of the family: Transfer RNA (tRNA) molecules are approximately 80 nucleotides in length. Their secondary structure includes four short double-helical elements and three loops (D, anti-codon, and T loops). Lineage: Bacteria; Candidatus Saccharimonadota. The record is from RNAcentral.